RNAcentral lists this ribosomal RNA (892 nucleotides) under Sterictiphora furcata. RNAcentral describes it as "SSU rRNA". It matches the Rfam family "Eukaryotic small subunit ribosomal RNA", at positions 594 to 1420 of the family's 1831-position model. Lineage: Eukaryota; Metazoa; Arthropoda; Insecta; Hymenoptera; Argidae. The record is from RNAcentral.
AUAGCGUAUAUUAAAGUUGUUGCGGUUAAAAAGCUCGUAGUUGAAUCUGUGUCCCACGCUGUCGGUUCACCGCUCGCGGUGUUUAACUGGCAUGAUUGUGGGACGUCCUACCGGUGGGCUUAGCCCCCUUCAAGGGGCGGCCCAACUAAUAUCCCAUCGCGGUGCUCUUUACUGAGUGUCGAGGUGGGCCGGUACGUUUACUUUGAACAAAUUAGAGUGCUUAAAGCAGGCUAUUUUCGCCUGAAUACUGUGUGCAUGGAAUAAUGGAAUAGGACCUCGGUUCUAUUUUGUUGGUUUUCGGAACCCCGAGGUAAUGAUUAAUAGGAACAGAUGGGGGCAUUCGUAUUGCGACGUUAGAGGUGAAAUUCUUGGAUCGUCGCAAGACGGACAGAAGCGAAAGCAUUUGCCAAAAAUGUUUUCUUUAAUCAAGAACGAAAGUUAGAGGUUCGAAGGCGAUCAGAUACCGCCCUAGUUCUAACCAUAAACGAUGCCAGCUAGCGAUCCGCCGAAGUUCCUCCGAUGACUCGGCGGGCAGCUUCCGGGAAACCAAAGCUUUUGGGUUCCGGGGGAAGUAUGGUUGCAAAGCUGAAACUUAAAGGAAUUGACGGAAGGGCACCACCAGGAGUGGAGCCUGCGGCUUAAUUUGACUCAACACGGGAAACCUCACCAGGCCCGGACACCGGAAGGAUUGACAGAUUGAGAGCUCUUUCUUGAUUCGGUGGGUGGUGGUGCAUGGCCGUUCUUAGUUGGUGGAGCGAUUUGUCUGGUUAAUUCCGAUAACGAACGAGACUCUAGCCUGCUAAAUAGGCGUACUUUCCGGUAUCUCGAAGGCCCCCGGCUUCGGUCGUGGGGUUUUUACUACCGGCGUACAAAUAAAUCUUCUUAGAGGGAC